CGGAGGAAAAGAAACUAACAAGGAUUCCCCUAGUAACGGCGAGUGAAGAGGGAAGAGCCCAAGAUUGAAAGCUGGCGUCUUCGGCGUCCGCAUUGUAAUCUCAAGAAGUGUUUUCCGCUUCGGACCAAGCCUAAGUCCCCUGGAAAGGGGCAUCAUAGAGGGUGAUAAUCCCGUACAUGGCUUGGAGCGCCCGUAGCUUUGUGAUACACUUUCUAAGAGUCGAGUUGUUUGGGAAUGCAGCUCAAAAUGGGUGGUAAAUGCCAUCUAAGGCUAAAUAUUGGGGAGAGACCGAUAGCGAACAAGUACAGUGAUGGAAAGAUGAAAAGAACUUUGAAAAGAGAGUUAAACAGUACGUGAAAUUGCCAAAAGGGAAGGGUAGGAGGUCAGAGAUGCGGCCUAGGAUUCAGCCUUGCUUUUGCUUGGUGUUUUUCCUAGAUUGCAGGCCAACGUCGGUUUUGGGCACUGGAGAAGGGUGGAAGGAACGUGGCACCUCUCGGGGUGUGUUAUAGCCUUCUACUGGAUACAGCGACCGAGACCGAGGACAGCAGCGUACUCGCAAGAGCGGGCCUUCGGGCACC
This 578-nucleotide ribosomal RNA is filed under the name Pseudozyma tsukubaensis. RNAcentral's name for it is "eukaryotic LSU rRNA". It matches the Rfam family "Eukaryotic large subunit ribosomal RNA", at positions 51 to 635 of the family's 3401-position model. The record is from RNAcentral. Lineage: Eukaryota; Fungi; Basidiomycota; Ustilaginomycetes; Ustilaginales; Ustilaginaceae.